CCUACGGGUGGCUGCAGUGGGGAAUAUUGGACAAUGGGCGCAAGCCUGAUCCAGCAAUGCCGCGUGUGUGAAGAAGGCCUGCGGGUUGUAAAGCACUUUAAGCAGGAAAGAAGGCUUCAGGGUUAAUACCCUUGGGGAUUGACGUUACCUGCAGAAUAAGCACCGGCUAACUCCGUGCCAGCAGCCGCGGUAAUACGGAGGGUGCGAGCGUUAAUCGGAAUUGCGUGGCGGGUAGCCCGCGUAGGCGGUGAAAGCCCCGGGCUUAACCUGGGAACUGCAGUGGAUACUGGCAAGCUAGAGUAUGGUAGAGGAGAGUGGAAUUUCCGGUGUAGCAGUGAAAUGCGUAGAGAUCGGAAGGAACACCAGUGGCGAAGGCGGCUCUCUGGACCAAUACUGACGCUGAGGUGCGAAAGCGUGGGGAGCAAACAGGAUUAGAUACCCGAGUAGUC
RNAcentral lists this ribosomal RNA (449 nucleotides) under uncultured bacterium. RNAcentral's name for it is "partial 16S ribosomal RNA". It matches the Rfam family "Bacterial small subunit ribosomal RNA", at positions 338 to 795 of the family's 1533-position model. The record is from RNAcentral.